Microtus ochrogaster (prairie vole) is the source of this 443-nucleotide long non-coding RNA. RefSeq lists it as uncharacterized. The transcript is spliced from 3 exons. NCBI's taxonomy places the organism in Eukaryota, Metazoa, Chordata, Mammalia, Rodentia, Cricetidae. The record is from RefSeq and is a predicted model, not a curated record.
AUAAAUAUGUUAUCUUUAUGCCUAUCUUUUGUGUCUAUGUGUCUGUUACCCGCUGCCACCACCAGCGUGGGGCAUGCCCCCCCCUUUUCUCGCUGCUUUUCUCAUGGCGGGCUCCACCAGCCCGCCCGGGGAUUGUUUUUAAGAAUAACAAAUGGUGCCACAUGACUCAGGGCCGGAGUUCCGGCUUUAGGCGCUGUCCGGGACUCUGAGCUCCCUCCCGGGGCAGAAUCAGGAUCUGAGGACCUUCUCUACAAUGACCCACGUGUUCCAUCUGCCUGGAUGCAGCUCCUCCAAACAACAGAUCAACUAAUCAGCGCUGACCAUUGGGCAAACCUGCCUUUUGUCUAAAGUAAAGACCUCUAGAUGUGGACAGAAUCGCUGGAAUCGACAGCCUAGCUGCUCAGGUCAAGGAACACCAGACAUUUCCAUGCCACAGACACCAG